UACGGAGGGUGCAAGCGUUAUCCGGAUUUACUGGGUUUAAAGGGUGCGUAGGUGGGUAGGUAAGUCAGUGGUGAAAUCUUCGAGCUUAACUCGGAAACUGCCAUUGAUACUAUUUAUCUUGAAUACUCUGGAGGUAAGCGGAAUAUGCCAUGUAGCGGUGAAAUGCUUAGAUAUGACAUAGAACACCAAUUGCGAAGGCAGCUUACUACAUAGUUAUUGACACUGAGGCACGAAAGCGUGGGGAGCAAACAGG
RNAcentral lists this ribosomal RNA (253 nucleotides) under uncultured bacterium. RNAcentral's name for it is "partial 16S ribosomal RNA". It matches the Rfam family "Bacterial small subunit ribosomal RNA", at positions 524 to 776 of the family's 1533-position model. The record is from RNAcentral.